RNAcentral lists this ribosomal RNA (495 nucleotides) under uncultured bacterium. RNAcentral's name for it is "partial 16S ribosomal RNA". It matches the Rfam family "Bacterial small subunit ribosomal RNA", at positions 28 to 507 of the family's 1533-position model. The record is from RNAcentral.
GACGAACGCUGGCGGCGUGCCUAAUACAUGCAAGUAGAACGCUGAAGGAGGAGCUUGCUUCUCUGGAUGAGUUGCGAACGGGUGAGUAACGCGUAGGUAACCUGCCUGUUAGCGGGGGAUAACUCUUGGAAACGAUAGCUAAUACCGCAUAAGAGUAGAUGUUGCAUGACAUUUGCUUAAAAGAUGCAGUUGCAUCACUACCAGAUGGACCUGCGUUGGAUUAGCUAGUUGGUGUGGUAACGGCUCACCAAGGCGACGAUACAGCGGCGGCCUUGGAGGGGGGACGGCCAAACUGGGAACGGGACAAGGGCCAGGACCCUACGGGAGGGAGGAGGAGGGAAUCUUUGGGAAAGGGGGGAAGGCUGAACGGAGAACGCCGGGGGAGGGAAGAAGGGUUUCGGAUCGGAAAGCCCGGUUGUAAGGGGAGAAAGAGAGUGGGAGUGAAAAGUGCACGUUGUGACGGUAUCUAAUCAGAAAGAGACGGCUAACUACGUG